This 254-nucleotide ribosomal RNA is filed under the name uncultured bacterium. RNAcentral's name for it is "partial 16S ribosomal RNA". It matches the Rfam family "Bacterial small subunit ribosomal RNA", at positions 524 to 776 of the family's 1533-position model. The record is from RNAcentral.
GACGAACCGUGCGAACGUUAUUCGGAAUCACUGGGCUUAAAGCGCGUGUAGGCGGAUGGGGACGUCGGUCGCUGAAAUCCCCCGGCUCAACCGGGGAACUGGCCCCGAAACGCCCCGUCUCGAGUGACGUAGGGGGACCUGGAACUUCCGGUGGAGCGGUGAAAUGCGUUGAGAUCGGAAGGAACGCCCGUGGCGAAAGCGAGGUCCUGGACGUCGUCUGACGCUGAGACGCGAAAGCUAGGGUAGCGAACGGG